GAGGGCGCUCUAUAGCGACUCGCACCGCGCCGACUUUCAGCCAAUUUGAGAAGACUGCAAGGACUUCAAAGUUGAAGGGGCCACCGGGGCCAGCAAGAUAUCUUGGAAGGGCAUUGCCCAGAUCCUCUAGCCCGACACGCGGCUGAUGUUGGGAGUUGCGUUUUGAGUCAGAGACAAGAUCCUCAAACAAAUCUGUCGCUCUGAGAUUGGGGAUUCGGGAAACAUUGGAACAGGCUUACUGUGAGCAAAAUGGCAGACAAGAAAAUCUGCCGUUUGGUUUGCACAGAUACAGGGACGAGUCUGAAACCUGUAGUAUUGACCAAUCAGGAGGCAGUCGUUCUAGGGCGAUGUCCCGUCACGGGAAUAUUGGACAAGAAGUUGUCACGGCAACAAGUGGAGGUAAAGGCGGAUUUCGAGUGCAGAGUUUUGCAUCUUAAACAGCUCAGUUCAAGUCCAUCAUUAAUUGAUGGAUCGUCUUUAAUACUGAAGGACCAAGAAACCACCAUUCCAAAUGGCGGCCGGUUCCAACUUCUCAACAACAAGUAUGAAUACCGAGUCAUCUUCCCGACCCCUCCAGCCCUGGAAAGCAAGCCCAAGCCCAGCCCCACGGGAAACAGCAGUGGAUCAACCGCCAAGCGAGCCAAAGGCGACAUUACAGACUUCUUCCAAAAGAAGCCAACAAAAAGGCGGAUCUCCGAAGAGGAGCCGUCUCAUCAAGAGGCCAAGAAGAAAGCAAAGCUUGAUGGUCCCACGAAAGUGACCUCAAAGAAAAAUUACAGAGGGACGGUCAGUGACAGUGAGAGUGAGGAUUCGCUGGACUCCAAAGACUUGAACAUCAUCCAGGAGACAUCUUCUAAGAAAAGGACCCAGCAACAGAAAGACUAUAAGGGAGCUGUGAGUGACAGUGACGACAGUGACGUCGGCAACAAGCAGCCUUCGACAAACGCACCAGGAAAGAAAAACUCUCACGCAGGAGUUAGAGACAGAGAUGGAGGAGAUACUUGCAAAGCUGAGAACUCAGUCGCAGCGAGAACACCUUUGAAUAAUAAAGAUUUUAAAAAGGCAACUUCUAAGGAUUACAAGGGAGCAGUCAGUGAUAGUGAUGAUAAUGACAGUGAUGGAUUGUCAGGAGAUAGAGUUCUGUCCGUCAGCAAAGUCAGCAAAGCGGAAACUCCAAAGGUCACAUCACUGAAGAAGUACCAUGGAGAAAUCAGCGACAGCAGUGAUGAGGAUGACAAUAAACAGGACCCUGAGUCGUCAGCCGUCAAGGCCAAACUGACAGCUCUACAGCAGAAUGCCAAACGUUAUCUGGCAAAGCAGUCUGCUGAUCGCCCGGAGACAACGCACCCCGACAGCUUGCCGCUGGCCACAAGCGGCACAGACGGAGCCGCUAACGCAGGGAAGCAAUUAGGGAAGCCUGCAGCCGAUUCCAAGUGGGAGGAGCAGGGGAAAUUGGUGGUGUACACAAGCCAGGGAGUGCAGGCCAGCAACAAGAUUGCAGGAUUUGACCUUGAUGGAACAAUCAUUACCACAAAGUCGGGAAAAGUGUUUGCUACAAGUGCUGACGAUUGGAGAAUUGUGUAUUCUGAGGUGCCGAGGACAUUAAAGAAACUGCAUUCUGAUGGAUACAAGGUUGUGCUGUUUACAAAUCAGCUCGGCAUCGGUAAGGGCAAGCUGAAAUUGGCUGACUUUAAACGGAAGGUUCUUGGAGUCCAAAGCAAGAUAGGAAUUCCCAUGCAGGCUUUGAUAGCAACAGGAGAAGGAGUUUAUCGAAAACCACAGACUGGCAUGUGGACCCAUCUAUGUAACCAUGGCAACGAUGGGAUUCAAGUCCACACAACAUCUUCUAAAUACAUCGGAGAUGCCGCAGGUCGGCCAGCUGACUGGGGCCCAGGAAAGAAAAAAGAUUUCUCUUGCAGCGACAGAUUGUUUGCUCUGAAUGUUGGCGUGUCUUUCCACACUCCGGAGGAGUUCUUCCUGGGCCAGAAGAAGAAUCGUUUUAGUCUUCCAGAAUUUGACCCUAGGAAGUUAUCAUCUGCUGGUCCUUUGCUGUCUCCACCUCAGGCACAGAUUCCUGCACAAGGGCAUCCUCAGGAGGUCAUCAUUCUGGUAGGAUUUCCUGCAUCUGGCAAGAGCAGCUUUGUCAAGAAACAUUUGCUGCCACACAAGUACGUGCACAUCAACAGGGAUGCCAUGGGAACCUGGCAGAAGUGUGUGGCUGCUACUGAGUCUGCCCUGGUCAAAGGUCAGAGUGUGGUCGUGGAUAACACUAACCCUGAUCCUGAGUCAAGACAGAGGUGGGUACUUUAAGGUCAAAGUGUGGUCGUGGAUAACACUAACCCUGAUCCUGAGUCAAGACAGAGGUGGGUACUUUAAGGUCAAAGUGUGUGGUUGUGGAUAACACUAACCCUGAUGCUGAGUCUAGACACAGGUGGGUGCUAGUGUGGUUGUGGAUAACACUAACCCUGAUCCUGAGUCAAGACAGAGGUACACCGCUUGUGCUAAGAAGGCCAAUGUUCACUGCAGAUGCUUUGUCCUCAAUGUCAGCCUUGACCAUGCCCGUCACAAUGAAAAGUUUCGACGGAUGACUGACUCCGCCAAGAACCACGCCCAGAUCAGU
This 2620-nucleotide unclassified non-coding RNA is filed under the name Patiria miniata (bat star). Its description in RNAcentral is "bifunctional polynucleotide phosphatase/kinase-like, transcript variant X4". The record is from RNAcentral. Lineage: Eukaryota; Metazoa; Echinodermata; Asteroidea; Valvatida; Asterinidae.